UACCAGCACCCCGAGUGGUCGGGACGAUUAUUGGGCCUAAAGCAUCCGUAGCCGGUUCUACAAGUCUUCCGUUAAAUCCACCUGCUUAACAGAUGGGCUGCGGAGGAUACUAUAGAGCUAGGAGGCGGGAGAGGCAAGCGGUACUUAGUGGGUAGGGGUAAAAUCCGUUGAUCCAUUGAAGACCACCAGUGGCGAAGGCGACUUCCUGGCCUGUUCUUGACGCUGAGGCGCGAAAGCUAGGGUAGCAAACGGG
This 253-nucleotide ribosomal RNA is filed under the name uncultured bacterium. RNAcentral's name for it is "partial 16S ribosomal RNA". It matches the Rfam family "Archaeal small subunit ribosomal RNA", at positions 474 to 727 of the family's 1478-position model. The record is from RNAcentral.